UGUUGGUGAAGGAUGGUAUGGCUUCACUGGUGGCGGUGGUGACUUGUAAACUGGUGCAGGAUGAUACGGUGUUGGUGAAGGGUGGUAUGGCUUCUUGGGUGGUGGUGGUGACUUGUAAACGGGAGCUGGUGGUGGUGGCGACUUGUAAACUGGUGUGUGUGGAGGGUAGUAUGGCUUCUUGGGUGGUGGUGGUGACUUGUAAACUGGAGUUGGUGGUGGUGGUGACUUGUAAACCGGGGUGUGUGGAGGGUAGUAUGGCUUCUUGGGUGGUGGUGGCGACUUGUAAACUGGAGUUGGUGGUGGUGGAGACUUAUAAACCGGGGUGUGUGGAGGGUAGUAUGGCUUCUUGGGUGGUGGUGGCGACUUGUAAACUGGAGUCGGUGGUGGUGGAGAUUUGUAAACAGGGGUGUGUGGAGGGUAGUAUGGUUUCUUGGGUGGCGGCGGUGACUUGUAAACCGGAGUUGGUGGUGGUGGCGACUUGUAAACUGGGGUGUGUGGAGGGUAGGAUGGCUUCUUGGGUGGUGGUGGUGACUUGUAAACGGGAGUUGGUGGUGGUGGCGACUUGUAAACCGGGGUGUGUGGAGGAUAGUGUGGCUUCUUGGGUGGUGGUGGUGACUUGUAAACUGGAGUUGGUGGUGGUGGAGAUUUAUAAACGGGUGCAGGAUGAUAUGGUGUUGGUGAAGGGUGGUAUGGCUUCUUAGGUGGCGGUGGAGACUUAUAUACAGGGUGGUGGGGUGGUGAUGGAUAGACAUGCACUGGUGGAAGAGGAGACUUGUAGAGGUAUGGUUUCUUAGGUGGUGGUGGAGAUGAGUAUUGAUAAUUUGCUGAGCUUUCAGAAGCUAAGCUAAGUGACACUAAAAC
Molecule: long non-coding RNA, 861 nt
Filed under: Nicotiana tabacum (common tobacco)
Lineage: Eukaryota; Viridiplantae; Streptophyta; Magnoliopsida; Solanales; Solanaceae
Description: long non-coding RNA (NTAB_LNC000477)
Source: RNAcentral